This 89-nucleotide transfer RNA is filed under the name Phycisphaerales bacterium. RNAcentral's name for it is "tRNA-Ser". It matches the Rfam family "tRNA". From Rfam's summary of the family: Transfer RNA (tRNA) molecules are approximately 80 nucleotides in length. Their secondary structure includes four short double-helical elements and three loops (D, anti-codon, and T loops). The record is from RNAcentral. Lineage: Bacteria; Pseudomonadati; Planctomycetota; Phycisphaerae; Phycisphaerales.
GGACAGGUGGCCGAGCGGCUGAAGGCACCGGUUUGCUAAACCGGCGUAGUCCUCUAGGGCUACCGCGGGUUCGAAUCCCGCCCUGUCCG